Molecule: microRNA precursor, 74 nt
Filed under: Rhodnius prolixus
Lineage: Eukaryota; Metazoa; Arthropoda; Insecta; Hemiptera; Reduviidae
Description: mir-2 microRNA precursor family
Rfam family: mir-2 microRNA precursor family
About the family: The miRNAs are transcribed as ~70nt precursors (modelled here) and subsequently processed by the Dicer enzyme to give a ~22nt product. In this case the mature sequence comes from the 3' arm of the precursor. The extents of the hairpin precursors are not generally known and are estimated based on hairpin prediction.
Source: Rfam by way of RNAcentral
CGUCUCACAAAGUGGCUGUUGUAUGUUCUUUAAAGAUAUGUUAAUCAUAUCACAGCCAGCUUUGAUGGGCGGAG